Long non-coding RNA from Sinocyclocheilus rhinocerous, 287 nucleotides. RefSeq lists it as uncharacterized. The transcript has 3 exons. Lineage: Eukaryota; Metazoa; Chordata; Actinopteri; Cypriniformes; Cyprinidae. The record is from RefSeq and is a predicted model, not a curated record.
CUCUAUAUUUUCAGUAUAAUGCUUUGUUUAUAACACCUGGAUCUCUGUUCUCUGAUGGACGUCAUUUAUGUCAGACUGAUGGAGCGCUGAGAAGGGAAAGGUGCCAAGAUGUUAGACGCUGCUGUUUCCUCCGGCAUGUCCGUCAGUACACUGUCAUUUACCUGGAAUCCAGUUAAAGCUUGAGAACUGUCUGUCCAACAAAACGACGGCCUGCGUAAAACAUCACUGCGAGUCCCCUGUCCCUUCCUGUACUCUCAGACAAUAAUCUGUCAUCAGCGUAAUAAAAC